UACGUAGGGUGCGAGCGUUAAUCGGAAUUACUGGGCGUAAAGCGUGCGCAGGCGGUUCGCUGUGUCCGAUGUGAAAGCCCCGGGCUUAACCUGGGAAUGGCAUUGGAACUGGCGGGCUUGAGUGCGGCAGAGGGGGGUGGAAUUCCGCGUGUAGCAGUGAAGUGCGUAGAGAUGCGGAGGAACACCGAUGGCGAAGGCAGCCCCCUGGGUCGACACUGACGCUCAGGCACGAAAGCGUGGGGAGCAAACAGG
RNAcentral lists this ribosomal RNA (252 nucleotides) under uncultured bacterium. RNAcentral's name for it is "partial 16S ribosomal RNA". It matches the Rfam family "Bacterial small subunit ribosomal RNA", at positions 524 to 776 of the family's 1533-position model. The record is from RNAcentral.